RNAcentral lists this long non-coding RNA (344 nucleotides) under Junco hyemalis (dark-eyed junco). RNAcentral's name for it is "lncRNA (ENSJHYG00000018296.1)". The record is from RNAcentral. Lineage: Eukaryota; Metazoa; Chordata; Aves; Passeriformes; Passerellidae.
CUUUGCUGGGGCUUAUAAUUGCUAGAGUUUUGCUGUUUCCAUGGUUCUUUUGACUGGCAAAAUGCAACGGACUUUUGUAUAUAAAGCUCUUCUCUCAGUUUAAAGCGUGGGUGCUUGCUGGAAUCAAAUGAAAACCAAGAGGUGUCAUCCAUGGCUCAGCUCUUCCUAAAGGAAAGAUGGAAGAAAUAUCUGUGGGCUGGAGGAAGAAGAGGGGAGCUAAGGCCAGCCCUGCUCUGGCCAGGAUGAGAGAGCAAAUAGGACAGCAACUGGGCUGUGAGGGAAAGCCUUUUCCCGGCCUGGCUCGGUCACGGGCACGGAAACCUCCCCCCCGAGCGCCGGUGUGA